CUGAGGGAAACUUCAGCUAAUACCGGAUAAGCCCUUACGGGGAAAGAUUUAUCGCCGAAAGAUCGGCCCGCGUCUGAUUAGCUAGUUGGUGAGGUAACGGCUCACCAAGGCGACGAUCAGUAGCUGGUCUGAGAGGAUGAUCAGCCACAUUGGGACUGAGACACGGCCCAAACUCCUACGGGAGGCAGCAGUGGGGAAUAUUGGACAAUGGGCGCAAGCCUGAUCCAGCCAUGCCGCGUGAGUGAUGAAGGCCCUAGGGUUGUAAAGCUCUUUUGUGCGGGAAGAUAAUGACGGUACCGCAAGAAUAAGCCCCGGCUAACUUCGUGCCAGCAGCCGCGGUAAUACGAAGGGGGCUAGCGUUGCUCGGAAUCACUGGGCGUAAAGGGUGCGUAGGCGGGUCUUUAAGUCAGGGGUGAAAUCCUGGAGCUCAACUCCAGAACUGCCUUU
This 447-nucleotide ribosomal RNA is filed under the name Afipia sp. A27. RNAcentral describes it as "bacterial SSU rRNA". It matches the Rfam family "Bacterial small subunit ribosomal RNA", at positions 147 to 628 of the family's 1533-position model. Lineage: Bacteria; Pseudomonadati; Pseudomonadota; Alphaproteobacteria; Hyphomicrobiales; Nitrobacteraceae. The record is from RNAcentral.